UACGGGGGGGGCAAGCGUUGUUCGGAAUUACUGGGCGUAAAGGGCUCGUAGGCGGCCAACUAAGUCGGACGUGAAAUCCCUCGGCUUAACCGGGGAACUGCGUCCGAUACUGGAUGGCUCGAGUAUGGGAGAGGGAUGCGGAAUUCCAGGUGUAGCGGUGAAAUGCGUAGAUAUCUGGAGGAACACCGGUGGCGAAGGCGGCAUCCUGGACCAUUACUGACGCUGAAUAGCGAAAGCCAGGGGAGCAAACGGG
Molecule: ribosomal RNA, 253 nt
Filed under: uncultured bacterium
Lineage: Bacteria
Description: partial 16S ribosomal RNA
Rfam family: Bacterial small subunit ribosomal RNA
Source: RNAcentral